Molecule: ribosomal RNA, 1687 nt
Filed under: Escherichia coli
Lineage: Bacteria; Pseudomonadati; Pseudomonadota; Gammaproteobacteria; Enterobacterales; Enterobacteriaceae
Description: partial 23S ribosomal RNA
Rfam family: Bacterial large subunit ribosomal RNA
Source: RNAcentral
CAUAGGUUAAUGAGGCGAACCGGGGGAACUGAAACAUCUAAGUACCCCGAGGAAAAGAAAUCAACCGAGAUUCCCCCAGUAGCGGCGAGCGAACGGGGAGGAGCCCAGAGCCUGAAUCAGUGUGUGUGUUAGUGGAAGCGUCUGGAAAGGCGCGCGAUACAGGGUGACAGCCCCGUACACAAAAAUGCACAUAUUGUGAGCUCGAUGAGUAGGGCGGGACACGUGGUAUCCUGUCUGAAUAUGGGGGGACCAUCCUCCAAGGCUAAAUACUCCUGACUGACCGAUAGUGAACCAGUACCGUGAGGGAAAGGCGAAAAGAACCCCGGCGAGGGGAGUGAAAAAGAACCUGAAACCGUGUACGUACAAGCAGUGGGAGCCUCUUAAUGGGGUGACUGCGUACCUUUUGUAUAAUGGGUCAGCGACUUAUAUUCUGUAGCAAGGUUAACCGAAUAGGGGAGCCGAAGGGAAACCGAGUCUUAACUGGGCGUUAAGUUGCAGGGUAUAGACCCGAAACCCGGUGAUCUAGCCAUGGGCAGGUUGAAGGUUGGGUAACACUAACUGGAGGACCGAACCGACUAAUGUUGAAAAAUUAGCGGAUGACUUGUGGCUGGGGGUGAAAGGCCAAUCAAACCGGGAGAUAGCUGGUUCUCCCCGAAAGCUAUUUAGGUAGCGCCUCGUGAAUUCAUCUCCGGGGGUAGAGCACUGUUUCGGCAAGGGGGUCAUCCCGACUUACCAACCCGAUGCAAACUGCGAAUACCGGAGAAUGUUAUCACGGGAGACACACGGCGGGUGCUAACGUCCGUCGUGAAGAGGGAAACAACCCAGACCGCCAGCUAAGGUCCCAAAGUCAUGGUUAAGUGGGAAACGAUGUGGGAAGGCCCAGACAGCCAGGAUGUUGGCUUAGAAGCAGCCAUCAUUUAAAGAAAGCGUAAUAGCUCACUGGUCGAGUCGGCCUGCGCGGAAGAUGUAACGGGGCUAAACCAUGCACCGAAGCUGCGGCAGCGACACUAUGUGUUGUUGGGUAGGGGAGCGUUCUGUAAGCCUGUGAAGGUGGCCUGUGAGGGUUGCUGGAGGUAUCAGAAGUGCGAAUGCUGACAUAAGUAACGAUAAAGCGGGUGAAAAGCCCGCUCGCCGGAAGACCAAGGGUUCCUGUCCAACGUUAAUCGGGGCAGGGUGAGUCGACCCCUAAGGCGAGGCCGAAAGGCGUAGUCGAUGGGAAACAGGUUAAUAUUCCUGUACUUGGUGUUACUGCGAAGGGGGGACGGAGAAGGCUAUGUUGGCCGGGCGACGGUUGUCCCGGUUUAAGCGUGUAGGCUGGUUUUCCAGGCAAAUCCGGAAAACCAAGGCUGAGGCGUGAUGACGAGGCACUACGGUGCUGAAGCGACAAAUGCCCUGCUUCCAGGAAAAGCCUCUAAGCAUCAGGUAACAUCAAAUCGUACCCCAAACCGACACAGGUGGUCAGGUAGAGAAUACCAAGGCGCUUGAGAGAACUCGGGUGAAGGAACUAGGCAAAAUGGUGCCGUAACUUCGGGAGAAGGCACGCUGAUAUGUAGGUGAAGCGACUUGCUCGUGGAGCUGAAAUCAGUCGAAGAUACCAGCUGGCUGCAACUGUUUAUUAAAAACACAGCACUGUGCAAACACGAAAGUGGACGUAUACGGUGUGACGCCUGCCCGGUGCCGGAAGGUU